Molecule: ribosomal RNA, 453 nt
Filed under: uncultured bacterium
Lineage: Bacteria
Description: bacterial SSU rRNA
Rfam family: Bacterial small subunit ribosomal RNA
Source: RNAcentral
GAUGAACGCUGGCGGUGUGCCUAAUACAUGCAAGUCGAACGAAGUCUUCGGACUUAGUGGCGAACGGGUGAGUAACACGUUGGUACCUACCCUCUAGUGGGGAAUAACUGCCCGAAAGGGUGGCUAAUACCGCAUAAUACCGCAAGGUUAAAGCAGUAAUGCGCUAGAGGAGGGGCCUGCGUCUGAUUAGCUAGUUGGUGAGGUAAUAGCUCACCAAGGCUACGAUCAGUAGCNGGAUCGAGAGGUUGACCAGCCACACUGGGACUGAGAUACGGCCCAGACUCCUACGGGAGGCAGCAGUAAGGAAUCUUCCACAAUGGACGAAAGUCUGAUGGAGCAACACCGCGUGCAGGAUGACGGUCUUCGGAUUGUAAACUGCUUUUAUAUAAGGAAGAUUAUGACGGUACUAUAUGAAUAAGGACCGGCUAACUACGUGCCAGCAGCCGCCGUAAU